AAAAAUACUACCGUAAAAAAACAUAAAAGCAUACUACCGUUUUAAAAUGGUAGUCGACUUCAUCAGAGACAUUCCGGUGAUCUCUCUGUAGGGAAUGGAGGGGCCAGAGAGAGGAAGAAAGUAAGCAACGCCUGCAAGCAAUGGGGAAUUUUAAGGAUCUGGUGUGCACCAUGACUUCUUCGCCCUUCUCUCUCUAUCCCUAAUUUCUCUCCCUAAUUGUGAUGGGUAUAAUGUAAAUACCCCAGUUAUGAAUUAGGAAUACCCCUAAUUUCUUUUCACUUAAACAUAUCAAUGAACAGAAUGAUUUCCUUCCAUCCGCAAUGUUCAGAAUCAUCUGCGGAGGAAUGUUGUCCGAGAGAGUGAUGGCUCCGCAGUGUUCAGUCAACCUUUCUGAUGCCCUAUGCCCUGGAUCUGCUCCGACGCUUCUGCAGAGGAAUGUUGCAGCAGUGAUGGCAAAGAGGAGGAUAAAAGAAGCAGAAAUCUAAAGAGGAUAGUGUAAAUUAAUUUCUUAUAUCAAUUUUAAAAAUCUUUGACUAUAAAUUAGUGUAACAAUUCUCUACAGCAAUAGCUCAUGUUCAUUUUAAAGUAGAGCAAAUUUUAAUUUUACUGCUGCACUCCUAAAUCACUUGCUGAAAUCGGUAAAUUUAUUUGCACAUUAAUAUGUAAUGGAUUUAUUGUUUAAUAAAAUAAAAAAAUCUGGGAGGGGUUGAAUUGGCCCCCUCCUCAAGGCUGUA
This is a long non-coding RNA of Cryptomeria japonica (Japanese cedar), 734 nucleotides long. RefSeq lists it as uncharacterized. The record is from RefSeq and is a predicted model, not a curated record. The transcript is spliced from 2 exons. NCBI's taxonomy places the organism in Eukaryota, Viridiplantae, Streptophyta, Pinopsida, Cupressales, Cupressaceae.